GAUCAGUGAAUGGAGAUUACUCAAGUAUUUAUCGAGAACUUGCAGUGGGCUAGGCACAGUUCAGGUAGAUCAACAAACCGAAAGACCCUGCCCUAGGGGAGCUUUCGCUCCAAUGCGGGGAGAGGGUGGAUGAUUGCAGUUUUGCCCAGUAAUUUUUGGGACCCUCAUGCCACCAUUAAUUAGCUACACACAUUUCACCGAAAGUCUACCUUACAUAUUAAUCAGAAGAAGUGGAAGAAUAAACACAGAAGAAGCAAAAAAGGAAGGAACUUUCUCACUGAAAGUUUCUAUUUAAUAUUAAGUCUUAAAAGUACUCCUGGAAGGACAAAAGGUGUUCUUAAUAAAUUAUAUUCGCAAAUAUUGGAUUUAAUCCUACCAGUAAUGAAGCAGUCAGUUACUUUCUAGAUGUGCAGAAAUACGUAAUGAACAAAAAAAACUAAUUCCUAUUCCAUUUUUUAUUAGGUCCACAGUUAUUUCACUUCUAAAUAAAUAUGGUUUUUUAAAAGUGGCACGCGGUGGAAUGUAAUUGAGACAGGAUGGAGUUCCUAGAGAAAUUUUACUUCCUCAAUCUGCACUCCACCUUACUUAAAAUACAGUCUUGGGUCUGUAAUUCCCUUAUCUGACUCUCAAGGAAAUGACAAAGUAAUGCCUAGAUUGGACUAAACCUCAUUUAACUUCAAGGCUGACCUUUCUCAAAGUUGAACCUUCGUCUUGUGAGGAACAGAAAGAUCAAGAACUCUGAAGCACCUCGACUUUCCACCUGUGAAGAUGUGUUCAAAUUUGCAACGUGCGGCCACACCUAUGAGGUUGAACUUUAUACAAUUGGUUUCUUUAUAGGUUUAGAUGGUUGAAUUUAAGUUACCCCCACUGCUAUUAUUAUUAUUUUGAGACAGAGUCUUAACUCUGUUGCCCAGGCAGGAGUGCAGUGGCGAGAUCUGGACUCACUGCAACCUCUGCCUCCUGGCUUCAAGCAAUUCUCAUGCUUCAGCCUGUAGCUGGAACUACAGGUCACUCCCUCUGGAGGAAACCAGCUGCCACUUUGUGAGGAUACUCAUAGUCCUGUGGAGGCAUAUCCUCCAUAUGGCUGAGACCUCCUGCGAACAACCAUCACUGACUUGCCAGACAUGAGUGUGCCACCUUGGAAGCAGAUUUUCCAGCCCCAGUUAAGCCUUCAGAUGACAUCAGCCCCUGCUAAUCUCUUGACUACAACCUCAUGAGAGACCCUGAGCCAGAACUAGCCAGGACCAGCUUGAAGUGUUUCAGGACACUUCUCUCUGUGUGUGCCUCUUGAUUUUGUUCAGAAGCCCAGUACUAUGGAAUACUCUAUCGCAGUGAUAAUUAACUACUCGAUAUGCAAAACACAGACAAAUCUCACAAACAUAAUGUGGAGCAAAAGAAGCCAGAAACAGAAGAGUACUGUGAAAUCCCAUUUAUGUCAAGCUCAAAACCAGGCAAGACCAAUCUGUGAUGUUAGAAGUCAGGAUAGUGGUCCCUUUGUUGGUGGUUGUGGCUGGGAGGGGCUAGAGGGCUCCAGGAGUGCUGGUAAUGCACUAAUUCUUUGUCUGGGUGCUGUUUACACAAUGUGGACAUACUGGGCUGU
This is a long non-coding RNA of Homo sapiens (human), 1600 nucleotides long. Ensembl annotates it as TRAM2 antisense RNA 1 (head to head). Its record names the gene TRAM2-AS1. The record is from Ensembl. Lineage: Eukaryota; Metazoa; Chordata; Mammalia; Primates; Hominidae.